ACCAGGUGCCAUAUCACCCUGCAACUUACACCUGGCAACCCACUGAAGCUAAGCAGGUUUGAGCCUGGUCAGUAACUGGAUGGGAGACCUGGGAAAAACUAAGGUUGCUGCUGGAA
Molecule: ribosomal RNA, 116 nt
Filed under: Lepisosteus oculatus (spotted gar)
Lineage: Eukaryota; Metazoa; Chordata; Actinopteri; Semionotiformes; Lepisosteidae
Source: RNAcentral